Molecule: long non-coding RNA, 954 nt
Organism: Hydractinia symbiolongicarpus
Lineage: Eukaryota; Metazoa; Cnidaria; Hydrozoa; Anthoathecata; Hydractiniidae
Exons: 2
Source: RefSeq, a predicted model, not a curated record
GGUUGAGAAGCAUUACGCAAGUUGCAAGCAAAAUUGAAACCAGCCAAUAGUUGUCCCUUUGAUAUAAUACGGCGAGGUGCUAACAUCUUCCUUCAGGUGAUAUAUGCAACAAAACUGAUAUCAUAGACGUAGAAACAAUUCUGGGGACGAGGUUGUGAAUAAAAUCACCGCGGAACAACAACAAUUCGUUGCGCUAAAGUAGUGCUUUUUUGGCGAUAUAUUUAAUGAUAUAUAUUUGCAGUUUAAAAGAUUGCAUACAAUGCGAGCGAGAGAUGUUAUCUUUCAAUAUGUGAGAUAAAAAGAAGAAAGCGAAACCUCACACCGCGUUGUCAUUGUUUUUUUGUCAAAAAUGUGAAGCUGUUUUAUAAAUCUUGAUAAAGUUAAUAAAUUGUUUUCGUUUGUGUAGAUUGUUUGUUUUUAUUUAUUGUAUCCCGUAAGUUUUUGAAAUUCAUUGUAACAGAUUCCGUGGCUUCAAGGAAUUGAUUUUCAUAACUAGUGACGGUAUAUUUACAUGAAAAGAACACCACAAACUGCUUCGUUCGUCUUCUCAUCUCCGAAAUCGUUAACUCGAAAGUCUCUAUAACAUUAUCUUUGACCCGAGUAUCAACUUCCGGUUGAAAGGGCGUACCUUACGACGCGCAUCCCCUUAAUUUGUGGCAUUUUCGCACACUACGGGUUGUACAACUCAAUGUAUUGCAUAUCUUUCAGAAUAAGGGUUUUAGCGUUAUAAAGUAUAACUUUGCAUGAAUUACUGGCGCUAAAAGCUUCAUAAAUUUUGAAUUUACGUUACCAAGACUGACAAUAUGGAAAUAAAUUUCUCAGUAAUCGUUUUUGUUUAGUUUCGCGCGAUCUAAUUUUCUCGCACCUUCUGAAAAGAAAUAUUCCGCGCAUGUUGAAUUUUCGCCAAAAAAUCACUACUUUAGCGCAACGAAUUGUUGUUGUUCCGCGGUAAUU